GAUGAACGCUGGCGGCGUGCCUAAUACAUGCAAGUCGAGCGAACAGACGAGGAGCUUGCUCCUCUGACGUUAGCGGCGGACGGGUGAGUAACACGUGGAUAACCUACCUAUAAGACUGGGAUAACUUCGGGAAACCGGAGCUAAUACCGGAUAACAUGUUGAACCGCAUGGUUCAACAGUGAAAGACGGUCUUGCUGUCACUUAUAGAUGGAUCCGCGCCGCAUUAGCUAGUUGGUAAGGUAACGGCUUACCAAGGCAACGAUGCGUAGCCGACCUGAGAGGGUGAUCGGCCACACUGGAACUGAGACACGGUCCAGACUCCUACGGGAGGCAGCAGUAGGGAAUCUUCCGCAAUGGGCGAAAGCCUGACGGAGCAACGCUGCGUGAGUGAAGAGGGUCUUCGGAUCGUAAAACUCUGUUAUUAGGGAAGAACAAAUGUGUAAGUAACUAUGCACGUCUUGACGGUACCUAAUCAGAAAGCCACGGCUAACUACGUG
This 497-nucleotide ribosomal RNA is filed under the name uncultured bacterium. Its description in RNAcentral is "partial 16S ribosomal RNA". It matches the Rfam family "Bacterial small subunit ribosomal RNA", at positions 28 to 507 of the family's 1533-position model. The record is from RNAcentral.